This is a small nucleolar RNA of Hippopotamus amphibius kiboko, 104 nucleotides long. RefSeq annotates it as small nucleolar RNA U13. The record is from RefSeq and is a predicted model, not a curated record. NCBI's taxonomy places the organism in Eukaryota, Metazoa, Chordata, Mammalia, Artiodactyla, Hippopotamidae. The transcript has a single exon.
AUCCCUUUGUGGUUCGUAAGCAUGACCACUGGGUGUUCACGCCGCGGUGUGAGAUGUGCGUCCCUGCAACCUUGUUACGGUGUUGGCAUGUUGCCUGUCUGAUG